GGCAGUGUGGCUUUGUGGUCGUGCGGCUAAGGUCACCAAGCCUUUAGUCUCAUCGUGCUGUGGAGCGCGGGUUCGAUUCCCGCCACAGCUG
This is a non-coding RNA of Aedes albopictus (Asian tiger mosquito), 91 nucleotides long. NCBI's taxonomy places the organism in Eukaryota, Metazoa, Arthropoda, Insecta, Diptera, Culicidae. The record is from Rfam.